CCUACGGGAGGCAGCAGUGGGGAAUAUUGCGCAAUGGGCGAAAGCCUGACGCAGCGACGCCGCGUGGGGGAUGAAGGUCUUCGGAUCGUAAAACUCUGUCAGCAGGGAAGAACGGUCACAGUGCUAAACAGUAGUGAAUUGACGGUACCUGCAAAGGAAGCACCGGCUAACUACGUGCCAGCAGCCGCGGUAAUACGUAGGUUGCGAGCGUUAAUCGGAAUUACGGGGAGUAAAGGGUGUGCAGGCGGUUUUGCAAGAUGGAUGUGAAAGCCCCGGGCUUAACCCGGGAAAGCCAUACAUUACUGCAAGACUAGAGUGCGUCAGGGGGGAGUGGAAUUCCAAGUGUAGCAGUGAAAUGCGUAGAUAUUGGGAAGAACACUGAUGGCGAAGGCAGCCCCCUGGGACGCAACUGACGCUCAUACACGAAAGCGUGGGGAGCAAACAGGAUUAGAUACCCCUGUAGUC
This 465-nucleotide ribosomal RNA is filed under the name uncultured bacterium. RNAcentral describes it as "partial 16S ribosomal RNA". It matches the Rfam family "Bacterial small subunit ribosomal RNA", at positions 338 to 795 of the family's 1533-position model. The record is from RNAcentral.